This 468-nucleotide ribosomal RNA is filed under the name uncultured bacterium. RNAcentral's name for it is "partial 16S ribosomal RNA". It matches the Rfam family "Bacterial small subunit ribosomal RNA", at positions 28 to 507 of the family's 1533-position model. The record is from RNAcentral.
GAUGAACGCUGACAGAAUGCUUAACACAUGCAAGUCAACUUGAAUUUGGGUUUUUAACUUAGGUUUGGGUGGCGGACGGGUGAGUAACGCGUAAAGAACUUGCCUCACAGCUAGGGACAACAUUUGGAAACGAAUGCUAAUACCUAAUAUUAUGAUAAUAGGGCAUCCUAUAAUUAUGAAAGCUAUAAGCGCUGUGAGAGAGCUUUGCGUCCCAUUAGCUAGUUGGAGAGGUAACGGCUCACCAAGGCGAUGAUGGGUAGCCGGCCUGAGAGGGUGAUCGGGCACAUUGGGACUGAGAUAAGGCACAGACGCAUAGGGGAGGCAGUAGUGGGGAAUAGUGCAGAAUGGGCGGAAGGCUGAUGAAGCAACGCCGCGUGGGGGAAAACGGACGUCGGGAUGUAAACCGCUAUCGCCUGUGACGAAGCGUGAGUGACGGGAAUGGGUAAAGAAGCACCGGCUAAAUACGUG